GAUUAUGGCUCAGGAUGAACGCUAGCGACAGGCUUAACACAUGCAAGUCGGAGGGGCAGCAAUAAAAGUAGCAAUACGUUGGUGGCGACCGGCGCGACGGUGAGUAACGCGUAUGCAACCUACCUAUCAGAGGGAAUAACCCGGCGAAAGUCGGACUAAUACCGCAUAAAACAGGGACACCGCAUGGUGAUAUUUGUUAAGGAAAUUCGCUGAUAGAUGGGCAUGCGUUCCAUUAGGUAGUUGGUGAGGUAACGGCUCACCAAGCCGACGAUGGAUAGGGGAACUGAGAGGUUGGUCCCCCACACUGGUACUGAGACACGGACCAGACUCCUACGGGAGGCAGCAGUGAGGAAUAUUGGUCAAUGGGCGAGAGCCUGAACCAGCCAAGUCGCGUGAAGGAAAAGAAGGAUCUAUGGUUCGUAAACUUCUUUUGCGAGGGGAAUAAAGUGCAGGACGUGUCCUGUUUUGUAUGUACCCUGAGAAUAAGGAUCGGCUAACUCCGUGCCAGCAGCUGC
Molecule: ribosomal RNA, 515 nt
Filed under: uncultured bacterium
Lineage: Bacteria
Description: bacterial SSU rRNA
Rfam family: Bacterial small subunit ribosomal RNA
Source: RNAcentral